Long non-coding RNA from Raphanus sativus (radish), 1059 nucleotides. RefSeq lists it as uncharacterized. The transcript is spliced from 5 exons. NCBI's taxonomy places the organism in Eukaryota, Viridiplantae, Streptophyta, Magnoliopsida, Brassicales, Brassicaceae. The record is from RefSeq and is a predicted model, not a curated record.
UUCCUUUCCUCUGUUGGGCUUCAACCGAAAUCCGACUCUGGGCUUCGACGUCGCGUUGUUUCUGCCAGCCCAUUAGCUCAAGACAAUGCUCUCAUCACUUUUCUCUUACCGCGAUGUAGAAACCCUAAUCGCCGUUUGCGAUUGUCGAUUCAUGAUCGUGUUCAUCCUCCUCUUUCUUCUGCCUUUACGCUCUUUAAUCUGUCAUUAAACCCAUUAAUGAGAUCUUUUGGCUUCCUCUUUCUGUUCUUCUAUAAAACCUCUCGAUGUUGCUUCUACAUCAAAGUUGCUAUUACCCUCUCGAUUAUCUAUAGCGAUGAAGCUUACCCGACUCAGAGAACUCGAAAUGCGAAGCGGCGGGCCGAUGUUCAAUCCGGUGUUUCUUCCGGCGUUGUUCCCUCCAUGAAGGCAACGAACCCAGCGGUUGUCUCAUCCGGUUCGGUCAACCCAGUCGUCCACCCCGGUAUCUCUUCCGGCGAUGUUAACUCAGUGAAGUCUAAAAAAGGUGCGGCGGUCUCCUCCGGUCGAGGCAAACCAAACGUCCAAACCGGCGCUUCUUCCGGCGUCAGAAGUCAAAGAAAUGCGAGAGGUCAUAUGUCAUGGGUUAGAUCACUUGAGAGAGGAAGGUCCACAGACUAUGACGAGAAGGUUGGAGACCGUUAAAGUUUUGCGUCCUUUAGGCUUACUUCUGUUAGAUACCCAGGUUAUGACGACCUCGACCUUUUUUAAUUCUAUAUUCAUUUUCUUGGUGUGAUUUGUACACUAUCUUUUAUGUGCUUUGGCAGGAGAGGUUAACCGAAUUGGUUCAACUUUAUGAUCCAGCUGCUGCCAGAUCUUCGUUGGUGUGAAGGAUAUGAAUAAGAGCCUUUUAAAAUUAACAGAUUGCAAGGGAGGCUGCUCUAUCUUCUCAGGUUCAUUUCUUGGAGCAGAGGGUGCAGAUGCUUGAAGAGGAGACUGAGACUCAGAAGAAACUAAACGCUCAGCUAGAAGAUUAAGAGCUUGACCACGAGCAGUGAUCCAUAAAGGCAGGAUUGACUUUGCGCUCCAUCUUGAAGGAGGCAU